RNAcentral lists this ribosomal RNA (1032 nucleotides) under Candidatus Brocadia fulgida. RNAcentral's name for it is "bacterial SSU rRNA". It matches the Rfam family "Bacterial small subunit ribosomal RNA", at positions 364 to 1377 of the family's 1533-position model. Lineage: Bacteria; Pseudomonadati; Planctomycetota; Candidatus Brocadiia; Candidatus Brocadiales; Candidatus Brocadiaceae. The record is from RNAcentral.
UUUCGNCAAANCCCGAAAGGGUGACGAAGCGACGCCGCGUGCGGGAAGAAGGCCUUCGGGUUGUAAACCGCUGUCGGGAGUUAAGAAAUGCAAGGAUGUUAAUAGCAUCUUUGUUUGACUAAGGCUCCGGAGGAAGCCACGGCUAACUCUGUGCCAGCAGCCGCGGUAAUACAGAGGCGGCAAGCGUUGUUCGGAAUUAUUGGGCGUAAAGAGCACGUAGGCGGCUGUGUAAGUCGGUUGUGAAAGCCUUCCGCUUAACGGAAGAACGGCAUCCGAUACUGCAUAGCUCGAGUGCGGGAGGGGAGAGUGGAACUUCUGGUGGAGCGGUGAAAUGCGUAGAUAUCAGAAGGAACACCGGCGGCGAAGGCGACUCUCUGGCCCGUAACUGACGCUGAGUGUGCGAAAGCUAGGGGAGCAAACGGGAUUAGAUACCCCGGUAGUCCUAGCCGUAAACGAUGGGCACUAGGUAGAGGGGUUUUGAUUAUCUCUCUGCCGGAGCUAACGCAUUAAGUGCCCCGCCUGGGGAGUACGGCCGCAAGGCUAAAACUCAAAAGAAUUGACGGGGGCUCGCACAAGCGGUGGAGCAUGUGGCUUAAUUCGAUGCAACGCGAAGAACCUUACCGGGGUUUGACAUGAUGGAAGUAGGAGCCCGAAAGGGCAACGAACGGUAUCCAGUCCGUAACUAUCACAGGUGUUGCAUGGCUGUCGUCAGCUCGUGUCGUGAGACGUUGGGUUAAGUCCCCUAACGAGCGAAACCCUUGUCUUUAGUUGCCAACAGGUCAUGCUGGGUACUCUAAAGAGACUGCCGUCGUCAAGACGGAGGAAGGUGGGGAUGACGUCAAGUCAUCAUGGCCCUUAUAUCCCGGGCUGCACACGUGCUACAAUGGUCGGUACAAAGGGAUGCUAAACCGCAAGGCGGAGCGAAACCCAGAAAGCCGAUCUCAGUUCAGAUUGGAGGCUGAAACCCGCCUCCAUGAAGUAGGAAUCGCUAGUAAUCGCGGNUCAGCUACGCCGCGGUGAAUNGNGUCCCGA